AUUGAACGCUGGCGGCAGGCCUAACACGUGCAAGUCGAACGGUAGCACAGAGAGCUUGCUCUCGGGUGACGAGUGGCGGACGGGUGAGUAAUGUCUGGGAAACUGCCCGAUGGAGGGGGAUAACUACUGGAAACGGUAGCUAAUACCGCAUAACGUCGCAAGACCAAAGUGGGGGACCUUCGGGCCUCACACCAUCGGAUGUGCCCAGAUGGGAUUAGCUAGUAGGUGGGGUAAUGGCUCACCUAGGCGACGAUCCCUAGCUGGUCUGAGAGGAUGACCAGCCACACUGGAACUGAGACACGGUCCAGACUCCUACGGGAGGCAGCAGUGGGGAAUAUUGCACAAUGGGCGCAAGCCUGAUGUAGCCAUGCCGCGUGUAUGAAGAAGGCCUUCGGGUUGUAAAGUACUUUCAGCGGGGGAGGAAGGCGGUGAAGUUAAUAACUUCACCGAUUGACGUUACCCGCAGAAGAAGCACCGGCUAACUCCGUGCCAGCCGCCGCGGUAA
This 505-nucleotide ribosomal RNA is filed under the name uncultured bacterium. RNAcentral's name for it is "partial 16S ribosomal RNA". It matches the Rfam family "Bacterial small subunit ribosomal RNA", at positions 30 to 523 of the family's 1533-position model. The record is from RNAcentral.